This 502-nucleotide long non-coding RNA is filed under the name Nicotiana benthamiana. Its description in RNAcentral is "long non-coding RNA (NBEN_LNC035501)". The record is from RNAcentral. Lineage: Eukaryota; Viridiplantae; Streptophyta; Magnoliopsida; Solanales; Solanaceae.
UACUAUGUACUGUGUGGUUCUAGUUUGCCAUUUCAAAAGUAAAAGUAUUCUUUUCGGAAACAUCCUAUAAAUCACUUGCAACAAGUAUAAUUCAACUCUACUAAAAUUGGAGAAGUCGUGCUAAUAACUUGUUACGAAACUUAGCUCAAAGUAAUAAUAUAAAAUAAAAAGAUAGACAACAAUGUAGAGAGAAAGAGAGAAGAGAUUCUUAAUUCUUCCAUAUAUUCAAGUGUGUACAAUGUGAUUCUCAAACCCUCUAUUUAUAGGAUGAUGUAGGUAAUACAAACGGAUGCCAUGAACAUGGUAUUAACUAUUGAGAACAUUGGGGUAGAUCAUGGAGGCGUGGGAAUUGCAUCCAUAAUGGUAAGAAGUAAUGGGAGGUCAAUGGGGAAGAAUAGUGGGUGUUACUCCCUUAGGAGUUAUGGACGUGACCACCAUAAUCAAGUAAUUCAUAACAUCUUCAGUUUAAAAUUAAAAAUAUUAUGGCCAAACAGUAAUUUCG